RNAcentral lists this ribosomal RNA (1960 nucleotides) under human gut metagenome. Its description in RNAcentral is "bacterial LSU rRNA". It matches the Rfam family "Bacterial large subunit ribosomal RNA", at positions 1 to 1983 of the family's 2925-position model. The record is from RNAcentral.
GAAAGUAAGCAAGGGCAGACGGUGGAUGCCUUGGCUCUCGGAGGCGACGAAGGACGUGAUAAGCUGCGAAAAGCCCGGGGGAGGCGCAAAUAGCCCUUGAUCCCGGGAUAUCCGAAUGGGGCAACCCGGCAGGCUGAAGGCCUGUCAUCCCGUAAGGGAGGCGAACGUGGGGAACUGAAACAUCUAAGUACCCAUAGGAGGAGAAAAUAAACAAUGAUUCCGUAAGUAGUGGCGAGCGAACACGGAAGAGCCCAAACCCAUGUCGUCUAGGCGACACGGGGGUUGUAGGACCACGACGUGGCAAGAUAGAGUCAAGUGGAACGCCUUGGAAAAGGCGGUCAUAGAGGGUGAAAACCCCGUACACGACUGACGAUUGAAGCCUAGUGGCAUCCUGAGUAGCGCGGGGCACGAGAAAUCUUGCGUGAAACAGCGGGGCCCAUCCCGUAAGGCUAAAUACUCCCGAGAGACCGAUAGCGAACCAGUACCGUGAGGGAAAGGUGAAAAGAACCCCGAGCAGGGGAGUGAAAUAGACCCUGAACCCGUCUGCCUACAAGCGGUCGGAGCGUCGUAAUGACGUGACGGCGUGCCUUUUGCAUAAUGAACCUACGAGUUACCUUCCCCGGCAAGGUUAAGUACCUAAGGUACGGAGCCGAAGCGAAAGCGAGUCUGAACAGGGCGCCAAGUCGGGGGGGGUAGACGCGAAACCGAGUGAUCUACCCUUGGCCAGGUUGAAGGUUGGGUAACACCAACUGGAGGACCGGAUGGGUAAGCGUUGAAAAGCUUUCCAAUGAGCUGAGGGUAGGGGUGAAAGGCUAAUCAAACUCGGAGAUAGCUCGUACUCCCCGAAAUGCAUUUAGGUGCAGCCUCUUUAUAGUAUAUCGUGAGGUAGAGCGACUGAUUGGAUGCGAGGGCUUCACCGCCUAUCAAGUCCAGAUAAACUCCGAAUGCGCGAUAUAUAUUUACAGGGAGUGAGGGCGCGGGUGCUAAGGUCCGUGUCCGAGAGGAGAAGAAUCCAGACCACCGGCUAAGGCCCCCAAAUGAUCGUUGAGUUGAACUAACGAGGUCGGAUCGCAGAGACAGCUAGGAUGUUGGCUUGGAAGCAGCCAUUCAUUUAAAGAGUGCGUAACAGCUCACUAGUCGAGCGAUCUGGCGUGGAUAAUAAUCGGGCAUAAACGAUCUGCCGAAGCCGUGGAUGUCGCAAGACAUGGUAGGGGAGCAUUCCAUGCCGCGUCGAAGAUGAGGGAUGACCCUUGUUGGAGCGCAUGGAAAAGCAAAUGUAGGUAUGAGUAACGAUAAGGGGGGCGAGAAACCCCCCCGCCGAAAGACCAAGGUUUCCUGAUCAACGCUAAUCGGAUCAGGGUGAGUCGGGACCUAAGGCAAAGCCGAACGGCGCCGCCGAUGGAAGAAUGGGUUAAUAUUCCCAUACUGCCUCAUGGAGUGACGUGGAGACGGAGAAGUGACAGUCCUGCCGGCUGACGGAAUAGCCGGUUGAAGGGUGUAGAUAUUGAUUCCCGUAGGCAAAUCCGCGGGGAGAGUCGAACCUGAGAGUAUACGGAGCGCUUGCGCAACGUAAUAUGGACGUAACCAUGCUCCCGAGAAAAUCCGCUAAACUUAUCCAUGCGGCACCCGUACCGUAAACGGACACACGUGGUCGGGUUGAGAAUACUGAGGCGCUCGAGUGACUCACGGUUAAGGAACUAGGCAAAUUGACCCUGUAACUUCGGGAUAAAGGGUCCUCGUCGUAAGGCGAGGCGCAGAGAAUAGGUCCAGGCAACUGUUUAACAAAAACACAUGGCUGUGCUAAAUGGAAACAUGAUGUAUACAGCCUGACACCUGCCCGGUGCCGGAAGGUUAAGAGGAGAUGUCAUCCGCGAGGAGAAGCGUUGAAUUGAAGCCCCGGUAAACGGCGGCCGUAACUAUAACGGUCCUAAGGUAGCGAAAUUCCUUGUCGGGUAAGUUC